RNAcentral lists this ribosomal RNA (128 nucleotides) under Labedaea rhizosphaerae. The record is from RNAcentral. Lineage: Bacteria; Bacillati; Actinomycetota; Actinomycetes; Pseudonocardiales; Pseudonocardiaceae.
UACGGCGGUCAUGGCGGAGGGGAAACGCCCGGUCCCAUUCCGAACCCGGAAGCUAAGCCCUCCAGCGCCGAUGGUACUGCACUCGCCAGGGUGUGGGAGAGUAGGACACCGCCGGACUUAAUUUCCAG